RNAcentral lists this long non-coding RNA (620 nucleotides) under Homo sapiens (human). RNAcentral's name for it is "HSALNT0033046". Lineage: Eukaryota; Metazoa; Chordata; Mammalia; Primates; Hominidae. The record is from RNAcentral.
UGCCUCCUCCUACCAGUCUCCUUAAGACACUGCCUGCAACAGCUGAUUAAUCAUUGUUGAUGACUGCAGUUUUUCCCAUCCUUCCCGAUUUACAUCUGUUCAGGCCAAUUCAAAUAUGAGGUCCCUAUGAAGAAUUAGGGAUGCUCCUUGGUCCAGAGUAGAUGCCAAGAAUGGAACUCCACAGUCAUUGCAGAAAAAACAUGAUUUGAAAUCAGUCACCAUUGCAGACAAUGCAUAUUCCCUUAAGCUACUGAGCAUGAAUGUCCAUGACUUGUCCACUCAUUGUUGGGUCUCCUGUAUUAAGAACUGUGGGGCUUGAUGCUGACAUUGGCAUUCCAGGGUGGGGCGGUCCUCCAUGCAUCAUCACUGUUGGGUGGUGAAGCUUAAAAGCUUGAUCACAACCAAAAAGAAAAUGAUGGAAGCAAGAAACCAGGAGUUUAAUGGAAAGGAAUGAACAAGCAUGAAGCUAUGGGCAAGGAGACGGACCUCCCGGUGAAUGGCUUGAGGAUGGUUUUCGCUUGCGUGACUUGAAUACAGUCACUAUGGGGGACUUGCCUGCUCGGUUGGACUGGUCUAUCAUGGGCUGCACUAUUCUUCUCCGGGCAUUAAUAAACCUGUAA